This 477-nucleotide ribosomal RNA is filed under the name Veillonella atypica. Its description in RNAcentral is "bacterial SSU rRNA". It matches the Rfam family "Bacterial small subunit ribosomal RNA", at positions 28 to 474 of the family's 1533-position model. The record is from RNAcentral. Lineage: Bacteria; Bacillati; Bacillota; Negativicutes; Veillonellales; Veillonellaceae.
GACGAACGCUGGCGGCGUGCUUAACACAUGCAAGUCGAACGAAGAGAGAUGGAAGCUUGCUUCUAUGGAUCUUAGUGGCGAAUGGGUGAGUAACGCGUAAUCAACCUGCCCUUCAGAGGGGGACAACAGUUGGAAACGACUGCUAAUACCGCAUACGAUCUAAUUUCGGCAUCGAGAUUAGAUGAAAGGUGGCCUCUAUUUAUAAGCUAUCACUGAAGGAGGGGAUUGCGUCUGAUUAGCUAGUUGGAGGGGUAACGGCCCACCAAGGCGAUGAUCAGUAGCCGGUCUGAGAGGAUGAACGGCCACAUUGGGACUGAGACACGGCCCAGACUCCUACGGGAGGCAGCAGUGGGGAAUCUUCCGCAAUGGACGAAAGUCUGACGGAGCAACGCCGCGUGAGUGAUGACGGCCUUCGGGCUGUAAAGCUCUGUUAAUCGGGACGAAUGGUUCUUGUGCAAAUAGUGCGAGGAUUUGACG